Prunus persica (peach) is the source of this 637-nucleotide long non-coding RNA. RefSeq lists it as uncharacterized. Lineage: Eukaryota; Viridiplantae; Streptophyta; Magnoliopsida; Rosales; Rosaceae. The record is from RefSeq and is a predicted model, not a curated record. The transcript has 3 exons.
UUAACAUGUGGCUGUUUUGUAUUGGGUAUCUAAAAUACUACCGUACGCACACACACACAGGAUCAUCACAACUAAAACACACGAUUUAGGGGUUUCUUCUUCCUUCUUCGAUUUUUUUCCUCUCCCUCUCUCUGAUUUCAGAGCCGCCGAACCCGAAGAACCUUUCCUUUCCUCUGCGUGAAACCAUUGUUGCAGCCAUCCUUGUUCUUCUUCAGCCGUCGCGCCGUCGUCCUCGUCACGCAAGCAGGCAAGAAGGGCAUUGCGGGCUUUGAGGGGGUUGGUGAGGUUGAAAUCAUUGAUAGAGGGCCAAUCUGUUAAACGGCAAGCAACUACCACACUAAGAUGCAUGCAGACUCUUGCUCGUGUGCAGUCUCAGAUUCGUGCAAGGAGAAUCAGAAUGUCUGAGGAGAAUCAGGCACUACAGCGACAGCUCCAACACAAACAAGAGAAAGAGCUUGAGAAAUUCAAAGCUUCUAUAUUAUGAGUUCAUCCACACCUAGCACCAUAGCUCCAACUACUUUUCAAUGUUAGGAGGAAUUUAAUUUGGGUUGUAAUGUAUAUUUGGAUUGAAUUUGGGUUGUAUUUGGCUAGUAAUUUAUUUUGGAACUUAUUUUGUUGAAGUUUGAUUUAAUUUGGG